This 72-nucleotide transfer RNA is filed under the name Thalassolituus oleivorans MIL-1. It matches the Rfam family "tRNA". Rfam says of the family: Transfer RNA (tRNA) molecules are approximately 80 nucleotides in length. Their secondary structure includes four short double-helical elements and three loops (D, anti-codon, and T loops). Further hydrogen bonds mediate the characteristic L-shaped molecular structure. tRNAs have two regions of fundamental functional importance: the anti-codon, which is responsible for specific mRNA codon recognition, and the 3' end, to which the tRNAs corresponding amino acid is attached (by aminoacyl-tRNA synthetases). tRNAs cope with the degeneracy of the genetic code in two manners: having more than one tRNA (with a specific anti-codon) for a particular amino acid; and 'wobble' base-pairing, i.e. permitting non-standard base-pairing at the 3rd anti-codon position. RNAcentral also lists the same sequence under 1 other name. Lineage: Bacteria; Pseudomonadati; Pseudomonadota; Gammaproteobacteria; Oceanospirillales; Oceanospirillaceae. The record is from Rfam by way of RNAcentral.
UGGGGUGUCGCCAAGUGGUAAGGCAACGGGUUUUGAUCCCGUCAUUCGCAGGUUCGAUCCCUGCCACCUCAG